GGAGUCUAACAUCUAUGCGAGUGUUCGGGUGUCAAACCCCUACGCGUAAUGAAAGUGAACGGAGGUGAGAACCCCNAAGGUGCAUCAUCGACCGAUCCUGAUGUCUUCGGAUGGAUUUGAGUAAGAGCAUAGCUGUUGGGACCCGAAAUAUGGUGAACUAUGCUUGAAUAGGGUGAAGCCAGAGGAAACUCUGGUGGAGGCUCGCAGCGGUUCUAACGUGCAAAUCGAUCGUCAAAUUUGGGUAUAGGGGCAAAAGACUAAUCGAACCAUCUAGUAGCUGGUUCCUGCCAAAGUUUCCCUCAGGAUACCAGUAACGUUUUCAGUUUUAUAAGGUAAAGCGAAUGAUUAGAGGCCUUGGGGUUGAAACAACCUUAACCUAUUCUCAAACUUUAAAUAUGUAAGAAGUCCUUGUUACUUAAUUGAACGUGGACAUUUGAAUGUAUCGUUACUAGUGGGCCAUUUUUGGUAAGCAGAACUGGCGAUGCGGGAUGAACCGAACGCGAGGUUAAGGUGCCGGAAUGCACGCUCAUCAGACACCACAAAAGGUGUUAGUUCAUCUAGACAGCAG
RNAcentral lists this ribosomal RNA (568 nucleotides) under Stenocladius sp. UPOL 000157. RNAcentral's name for it is "eukaryotic LSU rRNA". It matches the Rfam family "Eukaryotic large subunit ribosomal RNA", at positions 670 to 1243 of the family's 3401-position model. Lineage: Eukaryota; Metazoa; Arthropoda; Insecta; Coleoptera; Lampyridae. The record is from RNAcentral.